This is an RNA transcript of Hordeum vulgare subsp. vulgare (domesticated barley), 904 nucleotides long. It is a transcript of the gene named syntaxin-61-like, with no coding region annotated. Lineage: Eukaryota; Viridiplantae; Streptophyta; Magnoliopsida; Poales; Poaceae. The transcript is spliced from 4 exons. The record is from RefSeq and is a predicted model, not a curated record.
GCAGCACCCAGUACGGCGAGACGGCGUGGCCGCACGGACGCUGCGAGGUCCAGGGGCUGCGCCAGCAGCAGCUACCCUGCCGUUACCCUCCUUGCCGACGGCUCCUUCCUCGCGGCAGCGCCCAGUACGUCGAGACGGCGUGGCCCCAUGAGCUGCUACUCUGCCGUUCCCCUCCCCCUCCUCGCCGGUGGCUCCUCCCUCGCUGCAGCGCCCAGUACGGCGAGACGCCGGGGCUGCAUGGGCACCGCCAGGUCAACGGCUAAUACGGCGAGGCAGCGCGAGAUCCAGGGCCGACACCGGCCAAUACAGCGAGGCGCUGGAUGUCCGGCGGCUGUACGUCCUCCUGCCCGCCGUGCCCCCCACCCGCAUCACCAAGCAUCCCAACGGCAUCCACGCACCAAUUGUCAGUGAGAGGCAGAAGAGGAAUGCUGACACCGCGUUCAGUGCUCCUUCAGACAUGGAGUGCAGCAAGGCUUCAGAUGAUGACCUUGACAAGAUGAUAAUUAUGCAUAUCCAGGCUCACCAUACACGAAGAACUGUCUGGACAGGAAAGGAUCCUCAACAACCUAAGCCUGGAGAUGGAAACUACUUUCAACAGGCUCGACUUUGUGCAGAAACGGGUGGCGAUGGUGAUGAAGAAGGCCAGCAUCAAGAGGCAGAUCAUGCUCAUCCUCUACCUGGUGGUUCUCUUCAUUAUACUCUUCCUUCUGGUCUUCUUGACAUAGCAAUAUAUACUACUCGUAUAGCAUAGUGUACAUACGAGUACCUGCUUAUGGUAAGUUCUGUAGUAGAAGUAGAAAUAAGUGUACACAUUACCCAUUCUAUUCAAUCUUGCCGCUGUGUUCCACGUUUGAAACAAAACUCUCUCGUAGUUAUGCCUGUUCUAUCAAGCUUGAGACUAUCA